Molecule: transfer RNA, 77 nt
Filed under: Methanobacteriota archaeon
Lineage: Archaea; Methanobacteriati; Methanobacteriota
Also listed under: 1 other name
Description: Euryarchaeota archaeon (marine metagenome) tRNA-Thr
Rfam family: tRNA
About the family: Transfer RNA (tRNA) molecules are approximately 80 nucleotides in length. Their secondary structure includes four short double-helical elements and three loops (D, anti-codon, and T loops). Further hydrogen bonds mediate the characteristic L-shaped molecular structure. tRNAs have two regions of fundamental functional importance: the anti-codon, which is responsible for specific mRNA codon recognition, and the 3' end, to which the tRNAs corresponding amino acid is attached (by aminoacyl-tRNA synthetases). tRNAs cope with the degeneracy of the genetic code in two manners: having more than one tRNA (with a specific anti-codon) for a particular amino acid; and 'wobble' base-pairing, i.e. permitting non-standard base-pairing at the 3rd anti-codon position.
Source: RNAcentral
GCCGACAUAGCAUAGCCCGGUUGUGCGGCUGAUUUGUAAUCAGCAGGUCGAGGGUUCGAAUCCCUCUGUCGGCUCCA